This is a long non-coding RNA of Acanthaster planci (crown-of-thorns starfish), 797 nucleotides long. The record is from RefSeq and is a predicted model, not a curated record. NCBI's taxonomy places the organism in Eukaryota, Metazoa, Echinodermata, Asteroidea, Valvatida, Acanthasteridae.
CUUGAAGGAGUCUACACUUUGGCAUAUUGAUUUCUUGGUUUGAUCAAUCUCUCGACUAUGGUUAUAUACUGAGAAUGGGUCCUGCCAUGUUUCUGUGGGGGCCAAAACUUGACCCACCCCUAUGAGCCGCAUGCAUCUACUGGGUAUUCAGUCCAGAUUUUUUUCCAUGCAUGUUUGCCCCUUGUUCAGGCUAGUCAACCUCUCAAGCUUCGCUGGGCAGUUUGCGUAUGAGAAGAUGAGCGAUGAGGUCAAAGGUCGUUUCCAGGCCGGACAGUGGAGGAUGUGGAGGCACUCAUGAAAGACUUUGUGGAGUGAGUCGUAUUUGAAGAGAGACUAAUUUUCAAGAAAAAGCAAAAAGAGGUGCGCCAGUGCUGGUGAUGUGGUUGCUAAGGGCUGGACCGACAAUGCGUACUGUGUGUCAAAGAUGGGGGUCACACCAGUGACCAGGGUCCAAGCUGCCAACUUGGCCAAGGACGCUACCAAAGAGGACGUUGUUCUAACUUGGUGUUUACCUGGCUACGUUGGGACGGAUAUUACCAACUACAAGGGGCUGCUGACAAUUGAUGGGGGCGCCAUCACGCCAAUCUACUGCGCGCGUCCUGCAGCCACCCGGCUCAGACCAGCUCAGUGGCAAGCAAGUCUACGAGUUCUGGUAGUACCACAGAUAUCCCAGUCAAGGUAUUUUCAAAUUAUUUACAAAGUCGCUCUUCCUACUGUUGAGUUAAAGGAACCAGGAAAUGAGUUUUUCUUAGAAUCACCUUUUGUGUAUCUCUGUACUCUUCUUCCAUGUAUGAAGA